AGAAAAAACGUUGCAAGAGAGGAAGAAGGGAGAGAGAUGAAGAAGAAAGGAGAGGUGAGUUUUUUUUUUUUUAAGAGUGGAGAGUUGGCUGUGAAGUGGGAGAGAGGAUGGGUUGGCUGUGAAGUAAAUGGGAGAGAGGAUAGUGUAGUGGAGAAGAUGUUAUUAAUUAAAAACGGAUAUAGUAGAAUUUUAUUAUUUGUUUAGGGGUAGUUUUGGUAUUUUAAUAAAAAAUUUUAAGUGCUGAAACAGCUUGUGCAGGAAUCAGUUUUAAGAAGCAGGUUUUUCAGCUUCUACUUUUGGGGGUUGAAGAAUCAGUUUUCUGUUUUUGAGAGACCUUUACCAAACACUCUAUAGAGCCCAAAAGUGAUUUUGAACCUAAAAUUACUUUGAAAAAACUAGGCCAAACAGGACCUCUAUUAUCUAUAUCUUU
This 430-nucleotide long non-coding RNA is filed under the name Ananas comosus (pineapple). RNAcentral describes it as "long non-coding RNA (ACOM_LNC019389)". The record is from RNAcentral. Lineage: Eukaryota; Viridiplantae; Streptophyta; Magnoliopsida; Poales; Bromeliaceae.